GCAGCCAUCUUACAAAAAGCGUUAAAGCUUCAUCGUUUUUAUCAAAAAAUACCAUUAAUUAACUGUAACCCUUCACCUGUACUGAAUGAUCUCAUAGUUAUAUGAGAGCCUAUAUGUUAGAACUAGUAACAAGAAGAAGCCCCUCUCCAAAAUGUAAGCGUAAGCCAAAAUGAACUAUUCAUUGGCAUUUAAAGUUAUAAACCUAUUGUAGCAACUUAACAAGAAAAACCUACAACUGAUAAACGUCAACCUUACACAAGCACAUUUCUGGAAAGAUAAAAAGAAUAGGAAGGAACUCGGCAAACAACUAACCCCGCCUGUUUACCAAAAACAUCGCCUCCUGAUCACCCAUAGGAGGUCCAGCCUGCCCAGUGACUAAGUUAAACGGCCGCGGUACCCUAACCGUGCAAAGGUAGCGCAAUCACUUGUUCUUUAAAUGAGGACUAGUAUGAACGGCAUCACGAGGGUUAUGCUGUCUCCCUACUCUACUCAGUGAAACUGAUCUCCCCGUGAAGAAGCGGGGAUAAAAAUAUAAGACGAGAAGACCCCAUGGAGCUUUAAACUCAGUACCAACUGCCCAAAUAAGAACCUAUUAUACUUGCAGCUAUGGUUACUAGUUUUCGGUUGGGGUGACCACGGAGUAAAAUUAAACCUCCACGAUGAAAGGAACUAAUAACCUAACCUAUGAGCUACAGCUCUAAGUAUCAACAAAUUGACUAAUUGACCCAAUUACUUGAUCAACGAACCAAGUUACCCUGGGGAUAACAGCGCAAUCCAUUUCAAGAGCUCAUAUCGACAAAUGGGUUUACGACCUCGAUGUUGGAUCAGGGUAUCCCAGUGGCGCAGCCGCUACUAACGGUUC
This 862-nucleotide ribosomal RNA is filed under the name Microhyla fissipes (ornate chorus frog). RNAcentral describes it as "partial large subunit ribosomal RNA". It matches the Rfam family "Bacterial large subunit ribosomal RNA", at positions 1112 to 2574 of the family's 2925-position model. The record is from RNAcentral. Lineage: Eukaryota; Metazoa; Chordata; Amphibia; Anura; Microhylidae.